AAGCGCGCCAGCAACCAGCACGCCGGGAAUUCAAUCGCCCGCCUAAGCACAGGUUUGUCAUGGGGCUGGCGGAUCUGAUCGCCAUUCCUAACAUAUCUGCUAAGUUGAAAGCGCCUGAGAAAGUGGGCGACAAGGUGCUGGGGUCAAAGCCGGAAGCCUGGUGCGAGUUCCACCAGUGUUUUGGCCACGCUUUGGACUCGUGUUUGUCGCUGGGAUAUCAGCUCGACGAUCUGGUUAAGAGCGGGUUCCUAAAUGACUAUCUGCUGGACAGGAGGACGGGGGGAGCGUCGAGUUCCCAGCCAGCAGGUGGAGAAG
This 315-nucleotide long non-coding RNA is filed under the name Phaseolus vulgaris (common bean). Its description in RNAcentral is "long non-coding RNA (PVUL_LNC000666)". Lineage: Eukaryota; Viridiplantae; Streptophyta; Magnoliopsida; Fabales; Fabaceae. The record is from RNAcentral.